GUCCACAGUUAAUGGCCUGCUGCUCUUUUUAUGGUAACGAUUUUGGCUUUUCUCCGUGAGAAAGAGAAUAUUAUAUAAUUAUAUACUUGUUUCUUAGCGACACAGGAAAUGAGCAUAUUUAUCCCCCACAAAA
RNAcentral lists this small nucleolar RNA (133 nucleotides) under Echinops telfairi (small Madagascar hedgehog). RNAcentral describes it as "Small nucleolar RNA SNORA41 (ENSETEG00000024044.1)". The record is from RNAcentral. Lineage: Eukaryota; Metazoa; Chordata; Mammalia; Afrosoricida; Tenrecidae.